UACAGAGGGUGCGAGCGUUAAUCGGAAUUACUGGGCGUAAAGGGCGCGUAGGUGGUUACUUAAGUUAGAUGUGAAAUCCCAGGGCUCAACCUUGGCACUGCAUUUGAUACUGAGUAGCUAGAGUACAGUAGAGGGAAGUGGAAUUUCCGGUGUAGCGGUGAAAUGCGUAGAUAUCGGAAGGAACAUCAGUGGCGAAGGCGACUUUCUGGACUGAUACUGACACUGAGGCGCGAAAGCGUGGGGAGCAAACAGG
This 253-nucleotide ribosomal RNA is filed under the name uncultured bacterium. RNAcentral's name for it is "partial 16S ribosomal RNA". It matches the Rfam family "Bacterial small subunit ribosomal RNA", at positions 524 to 776 of the family's 1533-position model. The record is from RNAcentral.